CAGAGAGUGACAGGCAGGUGGCUUCCCAGGUGGCACAUGGCUUAUGGCUCCUUUUUCCUUGACUACUGCAGACCAGUCUUUUGAGGAUUCUGACAAGUUCCACUCUCCAGCCCGGGGGCUUCAGGGCCUGGCGUACUCCUAAUUACGGUCUGCAGCUGUUCCCAUGGAGCCCGGACUGGAGGUCCCUCUGGGAUUCACAGCCACACCCUGGAUGGUGGCACAGACAGAUGCAGGGCCAGGGCCAUGGGCAGACCUCAACCCGUGAGCUGAACGGGGAGAGGCCUUCACCCCAUGCUCAAGCCUCCCCGCUAGCAGCCCCACAGGCUUCUCUCGCCUCCCUGUCUUGGGGUAGUCAGAAGCCCCAGCACUGUGCAGAUGCUCUUGGCAGGACAGCAUCCCAGGGAGGUGCUGGGAUUCUGGGCCUCACUGUCUGGGUCUUGGUUCCUCUGAAAGAGAUGGAUUUUGUGCAGACCAGGGUUGUUGAGUGAGGGGAGCGUGGGAUGGGGACCGUGGGAAAGAGGACAGCUCAGGGAGAAGUGACCUGGAAAGGUCCUGUUUGCAUCUGACCCAUCUCAACUUGCCCAGCAUCCCAACUUCUCUGCAGCGAAAGGGUGGAGCCCUGCAGCCUCGGGAGGCCUGCCCAGGCUCCCGUGGAGCUUCCAACAGCUGCUUGGCCCCGCAGCUGCCCCCACUUCCUUUGAGACCUGCACUCUCAUGCUUGCCGCAUCAUGCCUCCCUGUGGGGGCUUUGGGCAUGGAGGAGGCAGAAGAGGGGGUGCCAGGCCUCCUGUAUUUGGGGUCUUCCCCCGGUGGAUGUCUCAUGGACUCUGGCCCCACACACUCACAAUGACUCUGGCUGGCCCCAUGCAGCGGGCCCAGGCGGCCUCACAUUCUGCUCUGCUAAGUUUGGAGAAAACAGAACAAUAAACCAGAUGCAGGUGGUGCCCGCCCGGCCUCUCACCUGCCUCCUUG
Molecule: long non-coding RNA, 971 nt
Filed under: Pan troglodytes (chimpanzee)
Lineage: Eukaryota; Metazoa; Chordata; Mammalia; Primates; Hominidae
Description: long non-coding RNA NONPTRT008832
Source: RNAcentral